This 753-nucleotide ribosomal RNA is filed under the name uncultured bacterium. Its description in RNAcentral is "bacterial SSU rRNA". It matches the Rfam family "Bacterial small subunit ribosomal RNA", at positions 92 to 854 of the family's 1533-position model. The record is from RNAcentral.
CAAGUGGCGGACGGGUGAGUAACACGUAAGAAUUUGCCUCUAGGAGGGGGACAACAUCGACGAGAUUUUCUCGUUUAGGGAAACUGGUGCUAAUACCCCAUAUGCUUUCGAGUGAAAUGGAUUUUUCCGCCUAGAGAGAAGCUUGCGGCUGAUUAGCUUGUUGGUGAGGUAAUGGCUCACCAAGGCGACGAUCAGUAUCUGGUUUGAGAGGAUGAUCAGACACACUGGAACUGAGACACGGUCCAGACUCCUACGGGAGGCAGCAGUGGGGAAUUUUCCGCAAUGGGCGAAAGCCUGACGGAGCAAUACCGCGUGAGGGAUGACGGCCUAUGGGUUGUAAACCUCUUUCUUCAGGGAGGAAUAAAAUGACGUGUACCUGAAGAAUAAGCAUCGGCUAACUCCGUGCCAGCAGCCGCGGUAAGACGGAGGAUGCAAGUGUUAUCCGGAAUCACUGGGCGUAAAGCGUCUGUAGGUGGUCCAAUAAGUCAACUGUUAAAUCUUGAGGCCCAACCUCAAAAUCGCAGUCGAAACUAUUAGACUAGAGUAUAGUAGGGGUAAAGGGAAUUUCCAGUGGAGCGGUGAAAUGCGUAGAGAUUGGAAAGAACACCGAUGGCGAAGGCACUUUACUGGGCUAUUACUAACACUCAGAGACGAAAGCUAGGGUAGCAAAUGGGAUUAGAUACCCCAGUAGUCCUAGCCGUAAACAAUGGAUACUAGAUGUUGAACAGAUCGACCUGUGCAGUAUCAAAGCUA